UACGUAGGGGGCCAGCGUUGCUCGGAAUUACUGGGCGUAAAGGGUUCGUAGGCGGUGUGGCAAGUCGGGAGUGAAAUCUCUGGGCUUAACUCAGAGGCUGCUUUCGAAACUGCCGUGCUAGAGUGCGGGAGAGGCGAGUGGAAUUGCAGGUGUAGCGGUGAAAUGCGUAGAUAUCUGCAGGAACACCCGUGGCGAAGGCGGCUCGCUGGACCGCAACUGACGCUGAGGAACGAAAGCUAGGGGAGCAAACAGG
This 253-nucleotide ribosomal RNA is filed under the name uncultured bacterium. Its description in RNAcentral is "partial 16S ribosomal RNA". It matches the Rfam family "Bacterial small subunit ribosomal RNA", at positions 524 to 776 of the family's 1533-position model. The record is from RNAcentral.